CCAUUCUGAUCAUUAAAACAUUCAUGGUGUUACUGGAGGUACAUCUACUGUAAAUGUCAAGGUCCUGAUUCAUACUGUAUGACUCCAAACAUCACUAAGGUCCUGAUUCAUACUGUAUGACUCUAAACAUCACUAAGGUCCUGAUUCAUACUGUAUGACUACAAACAUCACUAAGGUCCUGAUUCACACUGUAUGACUACAAACAUCACUAAGGUCCUGAUUAAUACUGUAUGACUCUAAACAUCACUAAGGUCCUGAUUCAUACUGUAUGACUCUAAACAUCACUAAGGUCCUGAUUCAUACUGUAUGACUCCAAACAUCACUAAGGUCCUGAUUCAUACUGUAUGACUCCAAACAUCACUAAGGUCCUGAUUCACACUGUAUGACUCCAAACAUCACUAAGGUCCUGAUUCACACUGUAUGA
Molecule: non-coding RNA, 424 nt
Organism: Salvelinus sp. IW2-2015
Lineage: Eukaryota; Metazoa; Chordata; Actinopteri; Salmoniformes; Salmonidae
Source: RefSeq, a predicted model, not a curated record